UGCGUAGGCGGUUAUAUUAGUCGGGUGUAAAUCCUGGGGCUCAACCUCAGGCUCGCAUUCGAAACGGUAUAACUAGAAGACGUGAGAGGUGAACAGAACUCUCGGUGUAGGGGUGAAAUCCGUUGAUAUCGAGGGAAUACCAAAUGCGAAGGCAGUUCACUGGCGCGUUCUUGACGCUGAGGCACGAAAGCGUGGGUAGCGAAC
RNAcentral lists this ribosomal RNA (204 nucleotides) under uncultured bacterium. Its description in RNAcentral is "partial 16S ribosomal RNA". It matches the Rfam family "Bacterial small subunit ribosomal RNA", at positions 568 to 773 of the family's 1533-position model. The record is from RNAcentral.